AAUCCGUUUGUGGGUGUUUGGUACGCGGGAGUUCCAUUCCGAUUCCGAUUCUCGAGUGGAAUGGGAAUCUCCCAAUCACUUAUUUUUCAAUCCGGUCUAGGAGGCCGGAUUGAAAGUUGAAUCCGGACGGAAUGGAUAUUUAUUCGGAUUAAAUUUAUUUUUUCAACUUUUUUAAUUAAAAUAUGAGUUAAUUCAAAAUUUUGAUGUAAAUUUUUAAUAUUUAAUUUUUAAUUUGAAUUUAAAUUAAUAUAUUAUAAAGAUAAUGUUAGUAUAUUAAUUUGAUUACAUUUUUUAUAUCCGACUGAACCAAACACCGACAAUGGGAAUGAUUUAUUCCGAUUCCGAUUCAGGUGAUGAACCAAACAGAAUUAGGUAAUGAGUCAUUCCGAUUCCGAUUCCAGCUUAUUUUGAUUCCGAUUCCAAUUUCGAUUCCGACUUCGAACCAAACGCGCCCUUAUAUCAAACCAAACACCCGUAAGCCCUUUUGAAAUAGUUGCUCAACUUUACUU
Molecule: long non-coding RNA, 509 nt
Filed under: Ananas comosus (pineapple)
Lineage: Eukaryota; Viridiplantae; Streptophyta; Magnoliopsida; Poales; Bromeliaceae
Description: long non-coding RNA (ACOM_LNC035662)
Source: RNAcentral